RNAcentral lists this ribosomal RNA (490 nucleotides) under uncultured bacterium. RNAcentral describes it as "bacterial SSU rRNA". It matches the Rfam family "Bacterial small subunit ribosomal RNA", at positions 8 to 518 of the family's 1533-position model. The record is from RNAcentral.
AGAGUUUGAUCAUGGCUCAGGAUGAACGCUGGCGGCGUGCCUAAUACAUGCAAGUCGGACGGAGAAUUAGCAAUAAUUCUUAGUGGCGAACGGGUGAGUAACGCGUUGGUGACCUGCCCCGAAGAGUGGGAUAACAGUUCGAAAGGACUGCUAAUACCGCAUAAUAUCUCUGGAGUUAGAGACUGGAGAUGAAAGGAGCAAUCCGCUUUGGGAGGGGCCUGCGUCCCAUCAGCUAGUUGGUAAGGUAAAAGCCUACCAAGGCGAAGACGGGUAGGGGACCUGAGAGGGUGAUCCCCCACACUGGCACUGAAACACGGGCCAGACACCUACGGGUGGCAGCAGUAGGGAAUAUUGCACAAUGGGCGAAAGCCUGAAUGCAGCAACGCCGCGUGCGCGAAGAAGGCCUUCGGGUCGUAAAGCGCUUUUCGGGGAGAUGAGGAAGGACAGUAUCCCCGGAAUAAGGCUCGGCUAACUACGUGCCAGCCGCCGC